This 383-nucleotide long non-coding RNA is filed under the name Theobroma cacao (cacao). RNAcentral's name for it is "long non-coding RNA (TCAC_LNC002039)". Lineage: Eukaryota; Viridiplantae; Streptophyta; Magnoliopsida; Malvales; Malvaceae. The record is from RNAcentral.
UUUUCGUCAUUUUUCUUUGAAAAUACCGAAACUCGCCAAAAAUAUGGUAUAAAAGCUAAAUAUAUUCAUACAUACUUUAAAUCAAAUAACUGAAGAAUAAAAUUACUUUUACAAUGACACGUGGGCCCCCAACUAACUAAGAAGAUGUAGGGCUACGAACCCUUACUUUCUAGGAUGCAACUCCGAGAUUAAUUCUCGUUUUAAUCAACUAUCAACAAACUGUCCUAAGCCUAAAAAAUGGAUAGGAAGAGGGGUGAGAUUAUGAUUACAUAAUCUCAGUGAGUAAACAGAUACCAUCUAAAGUAUCUAAAGCUGAAUAAAUGGAGACAAUAAAAUAUCCCAUCUCAAUAUGCAUUUCAUAACUUAGAAAUUUAUUCCAUCCC